AUGAACGCUGGCGGCGUGCCUAAUACAUGCAAGUCGAGCGAACAGAUGAGGAGCUUGCUCCUCUGACGUUAGCGGCGGACGGGUGAGUAACACGUGGAUAACCUACCUAUAAGACUGGGAUAACUUCGGGAAACCGGAGCUAAUACCGGAUAAUAUAUUGAACCGCAUGGUUCAAUAGUGAAAGACGGUUUUGCUGUCACUUAUAGAUGGAUCUGCGCCGCAUUAGCUAGUUGGUAAGGUAACGGCUUACCAAGGCAACGAUGCGUAGCCGACCUGAGAGGGUGAUCGGCCACACUGGAACUGAGACACGGUCCAGACUCCUACGGGAGGCAGCAGUAGGGAAUCUUCCGCAAUGGGCGAAAGCCUGACGGAGCAACGCCGCGUGAGUGAUGAAGGUCUUCGGAUCGUAAAACUCUGUUAUUAGGGAAGAACAAAUGUGUAAGUAACUAUGCACGUCUUGACGGUACCUAAUCAGAAAGCCACGGCUAACUACGUG
RNAcentral lists this ribosomal RNA (496 nucleotides) under uncultured bacterium. RNAcentral's name for it is "partial 16S ribosomal RNA". It matches the Rfam family "Bacterial small subunit ribosomal RNA", at positions 29 to 507 of the family's 1533-position model. The record is from RNAcentral.